Molecule: long non-coding RNA, 802 nt
Organism: Humulus lupulus (European hop)
Lineage: Eukaryota; Viridiplantae; Streptophyta; Magnoliopsida; Rosales; Cannabaceae
Exons: 4
Source: RefSeq, a predicted model, not a curated record
AAACUUAAUAAGAGUGAAAAAGGUGUCAAAAGCCAAUUUAGACUUUUCUUCUUAUGAAACCUUUAUAAAAAAAUAAAAAAAUAAAAAAAAAUUUAAUGGUCACAUAUAUGGCAAAGGGUGGCCGGCCAUGUGGUAUUUUAGAGUGGUGUGAACCCAAUUUUAUAAAGUUUAACUCCCAUUUUAAUUAAGAAGUCAAGUGGGUGGGCAAGUGGGUAGAAAAGCACUCAAGUGUUUUGUGAUAUUUUGAAGAGUUGUGUGAGCCAUUCUAACCCCCAAAUCCGACCACUCUCCCUCUCUCAUUCACUCUCAUCUGAUUUUUUGAAGACUCUCUCAAGUGUUCUCUCCAUUUUCAACCCCAAGAACACCAAAGAAACUUGGAAGCUAAGUCUUGGUCUAGGAAGGGUUUUCCCUAAGUUGGUUAGGGUUUUUGAAAGGUUUUGGAGGAGCCAAAGCUAAUAGGAAGGUCAAAACCUUAAACAAGAACACCAAAGAGUAUUGGCUAAGCGUAACUGGACUGAACGUUGGAGGGUGAAAACCUGCUGAGCGCUAAGGACUCCAAGUAAGUGCAAGGGCAAGGCAGAGCAGUGAGCGCUGGAGUCUUCCUUGCAAAUGUACAUGUGGACCGACCUUUUGGGAAGCCUUUUUAUUUUUGGAAAUGUUGUGUAAUUUUCCUAAACUAGGCUCACUCUAAUCUUUAUAAAACAUGUUUGUAACUAAAUGUUAAGUAUGGCCAUACGACUUUUUAAAAAGUUUUUUUUUUCUAUGGGUUUUUGAGACAUUUUGUUAAAUGAAAACAUUUAUA